Molecule: ribosomal RNA, 447 nt
Filed under: uncultured bacterium
Lineage: Bacteria
Description: partial 16S ribosomal RNA
Rfam family: Bacterial small subunit ribosomal RNA
Source: RNAcentral
AACGAACGCUGGCGGCAGGCUUAACACAUGCAAGUCGAGCGCCCCGCAAGGGGAGCGGCAGACGGGUGAGUAACGCGUGGGAAUCUACCCAGCUCUACGGAAUAACUCAGGGAAACUUGUGCUAAUACCGUAUACGUCCUCCGGGAGAAAGAUUUAUCGGAGCUGGAUGAGCUCGCGUUGGAUUAGCUAGUUGGUGGGGUAAUGGGCCACCAAGGCGAGGAUCCAUAGCUGGACAGAGAGGAGUAUCAGACACAUUGGGACUGACACAGGGCCCAGACUCAUGCGGGAGGGAGAUGGGGGAAAUGUUGGACAGUGGGCGAGAGCCUAUUCCAGCCAUGCCGCGUGAGUGAUGAAGGCGCUAGGGUUGUAAAGCUCUUUCACCGGUGAAGAUAAUGACGGUAACCGGAGAAGAAGCCCCGGCUAACCUCGUGCCAGCCGCCGCCGUAA